AUGACAACAGUUGAAUGUGAACCCUGGGAGAAAGAUGGCAGCUGGAAGAAACUUUUCGGUCCAACCAUAUAUGUUUGAACCAGAGUCAGACCCUGAACAGUAAGGAGCUAGCGAAGAAGUUGUUCAAUGUAGACUGCAACAAGACCUUUCUGAAUGGUGUACUUGUGAGAAUUGCACAACAAUGCCUACAGAGCCAGAGAAUGUCUGCUGCAGGGAGAUACCACAGCCGUUACAGGUACUUGGCCUAUAGGAGCUUUGUGAGCUGGUGUUGGGGCUUUCUGGGCCGAAGAGUUCGCGUGGCACUGCCCAGCUGUGUGGUGCUGCGUACACGGGCGGAGUUCCCCAACACU
Long non-coding RNA from Dicentrarchus labrax (European seabass), 350 nucleotides. RefSeq lists it as uncharacterized. The record is from RefSeq and is a predicted model, not a curated record. NCBI's taxonomy places the organism in Eukaryota, Metazoa, Chordata, Actinopteri, Moronidae. The transcript has 3 exons.